RNAcentral lists this microRNA (21 nucleotides) under Callorhinchus milii (elephant shark). RNAcentral's name for it is "eshark_NOVEL_325". The record is from RNAcentral. Lineage: Eukaryota; Metazoa; Chordata; Chondrichthyes; Chimaeriformes; Callorhinchidae.
CUUAUAUGGCAGUACUUCCUC